GGUCACAAAACACACAGCUUCUGUAUUAGCAAAGAAGACUGCAACUCAUCUCUGUCUCUUAACGCUAAAGUUCUAAAAAGGGAUUUUUAGCAAAGAAGAUAACAGUAGAAACAUGUUGAAGAACUUUUAAAAGAUUGCAGUGCAAACAACAUCAAAUAAAAGCACUACAAAAAGGAGCAGUUUAAAGAAAGGAGAGCAGUGGAAGGGUGGCUGAAGUGAGCACAUACUGAAAUCAUGCCGGUGGCCCACGCAAGAAUGGAUGAAGACUCUUUCAUGCUGCAUUAUCUGAAGGUGUUGAAGGAACUUCUGGCCUUUAUCUUGUUCAGCUACACAGUUCUUCUUGGAGCUCUUUUUAUAGCUGGAUGGACAACUUAUUUCAUGGUUAUGAAAUGAGAGAAAUAUUUUGUAAUUUGAUUCAUUGUAAAGAAUUUUACUUGCCACAUAAAAAGCUUGCAAAAAACUACAAAAAUGCUUUACAAUAGAUAACUCAUCACUGUUGAAGUACAAUGCAUAAAUCUGAAACACUAAAACAGUGCAUUUCACAAUAAUUAAAAUGAGUGAAGUCCUGUUUUGGACAUGCAGGGAAGUAGAUUAGUAGUUUACUUUUAAGAUGUUUGUCUGGUAUCAUGCAGAAACAAAUGCAUCACUCACUUCACGCUGCUUCUUUGUUUAAUAAAUACUGCAUUAACAUGCAGUCUGGGUAUAUAAGUGUGAAAAACAGUAGAGAUAGAAUUUCCCUAGUGCACCCGUAAACACUUAGAAACUCUAAAUUAGUGCACGGUUUCAUUACAUGACAUCAAGUUUAAGAUGUGGCAUGGACAGGAUGAGGAGGUUACUUAUAACAUGUACAACCUUGCUGUUUUAUGAGAGACAGGAUUUUUACUGACUCCUUAUGCUCCUGGACCUUCCUAUUGAAUGGGGAUAGAAUUACCUCACCCACAAAUAAAGUAUUGUACUACAUAAGAAUAUUUUUAUUAAGAGAUAGCAAAUCCUGGCAGCAGUUUUGAACUCAGAACUUCUGCAACAGGCAUCAGGCUAAGCUUUGUGGUACAUAGAGCAGAAACAUAAUGAAACUCAGAACUGUGCUGGCCCCUUAAACAGUGUAGUAACUAGCUGAGCUUACCACACAGUUGCAACUACGUUAUUGUACCAAAGGUAGUCUAUAUCAUGGCGAUAACUUUAGAAAUGCAUUUGAAUAUGGCUGAUAUUCCAAUAGUGCAACUUAUUGCAGGUUAGAUAUAAAAAUUAUUUUAACAUAACUCAGACUUAAAACAAAACUGCAUCUUACAAAAAAGUCUCAGUGCAAUAAACAAAAGUCAGGAGAAGUAAAAACAGACAUGGUUCAUCUUCGUUUGGAUAUAUUCUGAUAAAAAGAUGCUGUACUUUUUAAAGCUCUUUGAACCCAUAGCUAAAAGAGAAUUACAUACAAAAAAAUCACUACAGAUCUUUUAAUCGGACAUGACUUGACCCGAAGCAGGAACAGUGAUUCUUAUGAAACUGAAUGAAGUGGAUUAAAGGAUUCCAGCAUAAAGAAAUAAACUGUAUCUUGCCUUAUAAAUAACAACAGUACAGAAUGUAUAAUUCUGAAUGCAACAAAAUGUGACAGACAAUGGUUUGCCAUCUUGACAUAGUGGUUGCUAACAGGCUUACUGAGAUAGCAGUAAAGGACAACAAAGAAGAGGGAUAUAAAGUAAUAUGCAGUGCUGGUGUUUUUGGGAGGUAAAACCACAUUGUCCUUUCUGAUCAUUUGUAAUUCAUACUACUGCUACAGCCAUUGUGGUUAUGAAACAUGUAAGCACACCUAAAACAAAUUACUUGACCACCCCUCUUUAGAGACAUGUGUUCUAGAUUACAUACAAGAGACAAAGAUAAAACAUAUGUGAAGAGCAACUAUAGCUGCUUCGGCAGAUUUUGAAAUGAGUGACUGUGUUAGGAAAAAAUAUAGAUUCAAUGCAUGGCCUGAUGUGCGGUGUCAUCAGAUAUUGCAUCACCUCUGUUAUGUGUAAUACUGUGUGAAGUAAUGAAAUCCCAUUGAACUCAUGAAUACUAAUCACAGGUCUGUAUGCUAGUGAGUCAUGUGUACAUAUUAAGUUCCUUUUAUGCUUGUAAGAUGUGUAUAUAUAACAUUGUUCUAUUUUCUGCAGGAAGUGCCUUUGUACCAAUGCUAAAUCUAUAGUGCUGAAAAUUUAAUUUAAAAGCAAACUAAUAAAUACAAUGAUGUUGGCAUAUUUCUUCCAA
This is a long non-coding RNA of Protopterus annectens (West African lungfish), 2238 nucleotides long. RefSeq lists it as uncharacterized. NCBI's taxonomy places the organism in Eukaryota, Metazoa, Chordata, Ceratodontiformes, Protopteridae. The transcript has 2 exons. The record is from RefSeq and is a predicted model, not a curated record.